This is a non-coding RNA of Mycena olivaceomarginata, 91 nucleotides long. The record is from the annotation of a GenBank genome assembly. NCBI's taxonomy places the organism in Eukaryota, Fungi, Basidiomycota, Agaricomycetes, Agaricales, Mycenaceae.
GGCUUGGUGGUGGAUGGUCCACGCUCACCCCAUGUUUGAGAUCGUCAUACAUGCCGCGCGAGAGAUGCCUGUUCGAACCGGGCCUGAGCCG